RNAcentral lists this ribosomal RNA (139 nucleotides) under uncultured bacterium. RNAcentral's name for it is "partial 16S ribosomal RNA". It matches the Rfam family "Bacterial small subunit ribosomal RNA", at positions 360 to 514 of the family's 1533-position model. The record is from RNAcentral.
AAUUUUCCGCAAUGGGCGAAAGCCUGACGGAGCAACGCCGCGUGAGGGAUGAAGGCCUCUGGGCUGUAAACCUCUUUUCUCAAGGAAGAAGAUCUGACGGUACUUGAGGAAUAAGCCACGGCUAAUUCCGUGCCAGCAG